RNAcentral lists this long non-coding RNA (577 nucleotides) under Triticum aestivum (bread wheat). Its description in RNAcentral is "long non-coding RNA (TAES_LNC013252)". The record is from RNAcentral. Lineage: Eukaryota; Viridiplantae; Streptophyta; Magnoliopsida; Poales; Poaceae.
AGUAUCAUAGCUUGAUAUCAUAGUGACCUCAUUUAUUGUCAAGCAACACUCCAGCCAAGUACUAGAACACACAUGAGGAAAUGCUGAAGUCCACAAGGGUAAUAAACGGCACAAACUAUAUUAACACAGUAUAUUACAAUACAAACAGGACCAAACGGAGCUUGUAGAAUCUCAACUCAUAACCAGAACAAAAACGGGAACUAAACAUUGAACAUCUUGUUUGAGCCUGUAUGCAGAUCAUACACAAAUCAGAAUUUUAGAUGGGUCUUCUGAAACAACAAUCUUCAAGCUGCAGUACCUUGCAGUUCUUGCCUCGACACAAACCACCCUGAACCCGCAUGGGCAUGGUAGACUUGGCAAGCAACAAAAUAGCAUGGAGAGUAUGAAAAAUGAUAUUUGAUCCAGGCUAGGAUCUCCAGAUAAGCAGCAACCAGCAUGGAGAAUAUGCCAUUGAUAUUUGAUCCAGGCUAUAAUCACAUGAGAUCGAUCUCUUUUGUCUUCAACAUCUUCAGAAUCCAUCUUGUUCCUUCUUUUCACAGCCAAGGCUUAAAUUUUGCACAAUGAUGUGGCUGAAUCG